CAGCACAGAAACAGAGCAUAAAAAAUAUGUCUUUCUUUAGUCAUGGCAAAAUAAAUGCCAUUUGUGAUAAAAGUGGUAAGAUAAUUUUAGAAGUCACACCUUCCUCUGGUUCUGCAUUAAGAUUUGUUGUAAGCUUCGAGUGCUAUUUACUUCUUAAUCAGGAUGGGAGAAGAAAGUGUGUGUGUGUGUGUGUGUGUGUGUAUAAGAAAGAGGGCAGAUAUGUGUUUAACCUAUUUCAUUCAUUCAACAAAUAUUUAUUGAGCACUUAAUAUUUGGAAGGCUCUCCCAGAUGCAGAAGAUGUAACUAUGAAUGAGAAAAAGUCUCUUCUGCCAGGAUGUUCAAAUUCUUGAGAGACAGGGGAUGAAGGAGACAUAAGGCACAAGUAAAAAAAUAAAUAAAUAAACCAUAUAAAACAGAAUUAUGCAAUAGAGCUGAUGGUGAUGGAAGCAAAACAGAAUUACUAUACUUUGGAUUAGGUUAUGUAAGAAUGACUCACUGAAGAGAGGAUAUUGGCCAGGCAGAGUGGCUCAAGCUUGUAAUCCUAGCAUUUUGGGAGGCCGAGGCCAGUGGAUCCCCUGAGGUCAGGAGUUUGAGACCAGCCUGGCCAACAGGAUGAAACCCCAUCUGUAAUAAAAUACAAAAAUUAGCUGGGUGUGGUGGCACAUGCCUGUAAACACAGCUAGUCGGGAGGCUGGGCCAGGAGAAUUGCUUGAACCCAGGAGGCGGAGGUUGCAGUGAGCCAAGAUUGUACCACUGCACUCCAGAAUGGGUGACAGAACGAGACUCCCUCUCAAAAAAAAAAAAAAAAAAAAAAAAAAAAAAAAAGUAAUAAUAAUUGAGGAUAUUUAAGCUGAAUUUUGAACAACAGUAAGAAUACAGACAUAAACUUAUAUUAAAUGGCUCUCCAGGCAUAGGAAAGUUAAAUGUAUAAGCUGUAAGGUAUGAAUAAAUUUCAUGUUUCCUGAGAGUUAAAAUGAUAAUCAAGAAAUCUUGUAUGAAUGUAACAUAAUAAAGAAGUAUGGAAUUAUAGGUUUAUAUAGACUAAGGGCUUUGAGUUUCACAUUGAGCAUAAUUACAAGUAUUUAAGAUAAUUUAAUGAAAGGCAAUUGUGGACUGACUAACAUAAAGAAUUGAGAAAUGAAAGGGCAAAAUUUAGGUGUUGGAAAGAAUCAAGAAGACCUUAAUGAGCCGAAAAUAAGGAAAGUACAGUGAUCCACAAGAUAACAAUGGCUUAUCAUUAGUUUUCAUACCGAACUCUAGUAGGGAAUAGGCUUGGUUAGUCUCCAAACUUUAGUUUUUUAUCUAAUGAUGUGGUAAGUGUUUUCUUUGCACAUCCAGCCCAAAUGUAAGAGUACAUUUUCAUUUUCAUAAUAUUAGGACCAUGUCUUUAGACUGAUUUAAUUAUGCAGGAUGUCUCACGAUACAGUAAGGAGUGGGCCAAGGCUCAGUAGCUAUCUUGAUGCAAUAUUUCUAAGCAUAUUAAACAUCAAUCUUGUCUUAGUUCCACAUGGGCUGCAAUAAGAAAAUACCAUAAGCCGAGUUGUUUAUAAGCAAAAGAAAUUAAUUUCUCAUAGUUCCGGAGGCUGAAAAGUCAACUGCCAAGGCACCAGCAGAUUUGAUGUCUAGUAGGGGUGCUGUUUCUUGUAGGUGAUUCCUUCUCAUGUCCUAACAUAUAAGGGUCAAGGCAGCUCUCUGGGGCUUCUUUUAUAAGGGCACUAAUAUCAUUCAAGACAGCUUGACCCUCAUGACCUAAUCACCUACCAAAGCCUUACAUCUUAAUCCUAUCACAUUAAGAAUUAGUUUCCAGCCGGGCAUGGUGGCUCACGCCUGUAAUCCUAACACUUUGGGAGGCCAAAGCGGCCGAGCACGAGGUCAGGAGAUCGAGACAUUCCUGGAUAACACGG
Molecule: long non-coding RNA, 1905 nt
Filed under: Homo sapiens (human)
Lineage: Eukaryota; Metazoa; Chordata; Mammalia; Primates; Hominidae
Description: HSALNT0174345
Source: RNAcentral